Long non-coding RNA from Neopsephotus bourkii (Bourke's parrot), 772 nucleotides. RefSeq lists it as uncharacterized. The record is from RefSeq and is a predicted model, not a curated record. The transcript has 6 exons. Lineage: Eukaryota; Metazoa; Chordata; Aves; Psittaciformes; Psittacidae.
AAAUAGUCCUUCCUCUCUGAAUGAGAGGAAUUGGUCCUGGCAGACUACAUGUACAGUGUUCUCAAGUGCUGGCAGUUCAAGAAGCCCUUCUGUGAUUUCUUGGGAAUUGUUUCAAAGCAGUUAAAAUAGGAAAACAUCGAGCACAAUUUUACAGAGCUGCAUCAGAAUAAUUCCAGCAGCCAAGACUGCAAAUCCUUGUAAUGAAACCUGGAUUGAGACUAACAGUCCAGCUUCAAUAGGUGCAGUGCCUUGUGCAGAACUCCAUCAUUGCAAAUUCUUACAAUUCUUCUAAGUCAAAAUCCCAAAUCAAGCAGUACUUUUUUAAGCAUUCCUUUGUACUACAAGGCAAUUGAUCAUGGGGAGAACCUCGGUGUGUGAUUUUCAGGUAAAGUGAAUCCUUGCAUAGGUUGUGAUGCACCAUUUCUCUGAUGUACUGGACUCGGGAACAGAAGAAGAAACAGAAAAGCAGAAUAUUGGACAAAUGUACAUUUAACCCUGCGUACUCUGAAGUCAUCCCUGCAGUAGAGGUCAAAGAUUUCUUCCUGGCAGAACUGUUCCACAAUGAAAUCCAUAUUCCUCUUUGCUGAUGCUACUGAAGUCUUUUGAAUCCCUUUUGUAUCAGUAGGAUUUCCAACCUUAACCCAUUGCUGCAAGGGUCCUGGACUUGAAUGUACAUCCACUGAAUGUUGCUGUGCUCCCCCAUUGGCAGGACAAACAUGAUCUUAAAAAUUAAGGAGAUGCCUGCUAGGGAAAUUUUUCUAUAUAGGGACAU